GGUUAAGCGACUAAGCGUACACGGUGGAUGCCCUGGCAGUCAGAGGCGAUGAAGGACGUGCUAAUCUGCGAUAAGCGUCGGUAAGGUGAUAUGAACCGUUAUAACCGGCGAUUUCCGAAUGGGGAAACCCAGUGUGAUUCGUCACACUAUCAUUAACUGAAUCCAUAGGUUAAUGAGGCGAACCGGGGGAACUGAAACAUCUAAGUACCCCGAGGAAAAGAAAUCAACCGAGAUUCCCCCAGUAGCGGCGAGCGAACGGGGAGCAGCCCAGAGCCUGAAUCAGUGUGUGUGUUAGUGGAAGCGUCUGGAAAGGCGUGCGAUACAGGGUGACAGCCCCGUACACAAAAAUGCACAUAUUGUGAGCUCGAUGAGUAGGGCGGGACACGUGGUAUCCUGUCUGAAUAUGGGGGGACCAUCCUCCAAGGCUAAAUACUCCUGACUGACCGAUAGUGAACCAGUACCGUGAGGGAAAGGCGAAAAGAACCCCGGCGAGGGGAGUGAAAAAGAACCUGAAACCGUGUACGUACAAGCAGUGGGAGCACGCUUAGGCGUGUGACUGCGUACCUUUUGUAUAAUGGGUCAGCGACUUAUAUUCUGUAGCAAGGUUAACCGAAUAGGGGAGCCGAAGGGAAACCGAGUCUUAACUGGGCGUUAAGUUGCAGGGUAUAGACCCGAAACCCGGUGAUCUAGCCAUGGGCAGGUUGAAGGUUGGGUAACACUAACUGGAGGACCGAACCGACUAAUGUUGAAAAAUUAGCGGAUGACUUGUGGCUGGGGGUGAAAGGCCAAUCAAACCGGGAGAUAGCUGGUUCUCCCCGAAAGCUAUUUAGGUAGCGCCUCGUGAAUUCAUCUCCGGGGGUAGAGCACUGUUUCGGCAAGGGGGUCAUCCCGACUUACCAACCCGAUGCAAACUGCGAAUACCGGAGAAUGUUAUCACGGGAGACACACGGCGGGUGCUAACGUCCGUCGUGAAGAGGGAAACAACCCAGACCGCCAGCUAAGGUCCCAAAGUCAUGGUUAAGUGGGAAACGAUGUGGGAAGGCCCAGACAGCCAGGAUGUUGGCUUAGAAGCAGCCAUCAUUUAAAGAAAGCGUAAUAGCUCACUGGUCGAGUCGGCCUGCGCGGAAGAUGUAACGGGGCUAAACCAUGCACCGAAGCUGCGGCAGCGACGCUUAUGCGUUGUUGGGUAGGGGAGCGUUCUGUAAGCCUGCGAAGGUGUGCUGUGAGGCAUGCUGGAGGUAUCAGAAGUGCGAAUGCUGACAUAAGUAACGAUAAAGCGGGUGAAAAGCCCGCUCGCCGGAAGACCAAGGGUUCCUGUCCAACGUUAAUCGGGGCAGGGUGAGUCGACCCCUAAGGCGAGGCCGAAAGGCGUAGUCGAUGGGAAACAGGUUAAUAUUCCUGUACUUGGUGUUACUGCGAAGGGGGGACGGAGAAGGCUAUGUUGGCCGGGCGACGGUUGUCCCGGUUUAAGCGUGUAGGCUGGUUUUCCAGGCAAAUCCGGAAAAUCAAGGCUGAGGCGUGAUGACGAGGCACUACGGUGCUGAAGCAACAAAUGCCCUGCUUCCAGGAAAAGCCUCUAAGCAUCAGGUAACAUCAAAUCGUACCCCAAACCGACACAGGUGGUCAGGUAGAGAAUACCAAGGCGCUUGAGAGAACUCGGGUGAAGGAACUAGGCAAAAUGGUGCCGUAACUUCGGGAGAAGGCACGCUGAUAUGUAGGUGAAGUCCCUCGCGGAUGGAGCUGAAAUCAGUCGAAGAUACCAGCUGGCUGCAACUGUUUAUUAAAAACACAGCACUGUGCAAACACGAAAGUGGACGUAUACGGUGUGACGCCUGCCCGGUGCCGGAAGGUUAAUUGAUGGGGUUAGCGCAAGCGAAGCUCUUGAUCGAAGCCCCGGUAAACGGCGGCCGUAACUAUAACGGUCCUAAGGUAGCGAAAUUCCUUGUCGGGUAAGUUCCGACCUGCACGAAUGGCGUAAUGAUGGCCAGGCUGUCUCCACCCGAGACUCAGUGAAAUUGAACUCGCUGUGAAGAUGCAGUGUACCCGCGGCAAGACGGAAAGACCCCGUGAACCUUUACUAUAGCUUGACACUGAACAUUGAGCCUUGAUGUGUAGGAUAGGUGGGAGGCUUGGAAGUGUGGACGCCAGUCUGCAUGGAGCCGACCUUGAAAUACCACCCUUUAAUGUUUGAUGUUCUAACGUUGACCCGUAAUCCGGGUUGCGGACAGUGUCUGGUGGGUAGUUUGACUGGGGCGGUCUCCUCCUAAAGAGUAACGGAGGAGCACGAAGGUUGGCUAAUCCUGGUCGGACAUCAGGAGGUUAGUGCAAUGGCAUAAGCCAGCUUGACUGCGAGCGUGACGGCGCGAGCAGGUGCGAAAGCAGGUCAUAGUGAUCCGGUGGUUCUGAAUGGAAGGGCCAUCGCUCAACGGAUAAAAGGUACUCCGGGGAUAACAGGCUGAUACCGCCCAAGAGUUCAUAUCGACGGCGGUGUUUGGCACCUCGAUGUCGGCUCAUCACAUCCUGGGGCUGAAGUAGGUCCCAAGGGUAUGGCUGUUCGCCAUUUAAAGUGGUACGCGAGCUGGGUUUAGAACGUCGUGAGACAGUUCGGUCCCUAUCUGCCGUGGGCGCUGGAGAACUGAGGGGGGCUGCUCCUAGUACGAGAGGACCGGAGUGGACGCAUCACUGGUGUUCGGGUUGUCAUGCCAAUGGCACUGCCCGGUAGCUAAAUGCGGAAGAGAUAAGUGCUGAAAGCAUCUAAGCACGAAACUUGCCCCGAGAUGAGUUCUCCCUGACUCCUUGAGAGUCCUGAAGGAACGUUGAAGACGACGACGUUGAUAGGCCGGGUGUGUAAGCGCAGCGAUGCGUUGAGCUAACCGGUACUAAUGAACCGUGAGGCUUAACCUU
This 2904-nucleotide ribosomal RNA is filed under the name Escherichia coli. Its description in RNAcentral is "23S ribosomal RNA". It matches the Rfam family "Bacterial large subunit ribosomal RNA". Lineage: Bacteria; Pseudomonadati; Pseudomonadota; Gammaproteobacteria; Enterobacterales; Enterobacteriaceae. The record is from RNAcentral.